UGGGGGUUCAUAGGGAUGUCUCUGCUAUGCGUGAACUUUUAUUCAACAUUUUCAAACUAACAGGUCGUCCUCAUACCUCGUCCGAUAUGAGCACCAAAAGAUAUCAUCCCUCAAUACUUCGUCCGGUAUGAGGGUGAAACAGGCCGUCCCCAUACCCCGUCUGGCAUGAACAUCAAAAUAUAAAUCCUCGAUACCCCGUCCGGUAUGAGAUAACAUUCACGGUAGGGUUCCCUAUAUAUUCAGUCCAUCCACCAUU
Molecule: long non-coding RNA, 256 nt
Filed under: Carica papaya (papaya)
Lineage: Eukaryota; Viridiplantae; Streptophyta; Magnoliopsida; Brassicales; Caricaceae
Description: long non-coding RNA (CPAP_LNC012198)
Source: RNAcentral